Molecule: long non-coding RNA, 3653 nt
Organism: Tachysurus fulvidraco (yellow catfish)
Lineage: Eukaryota; Metazoa; Chordata; Actinopteri; Siluriformes; Bagridae
Exons: 2
Source: RefSeq, a predicted model, not a curated record
AAGACCGACAGUGUCAACUUACAUCUUGCCAUUCUACUGUCAAAUGUACAUUCACAUCUACUGCUAGAGUUUUAUCAAUAUGAGAUUAUCAGUGUCUUUAUUGAUAGAGGCUUCUAUGCACUUUUGUAUGUUGCUCUGCAUAAGGGCAAGAGUUUGAGAAGCUGGAACACAGCAAAAUAAAAUUUCCACCUGACACAAUUUUCCCAGUUUCAGAGAGAAUAACCAUUGCUAUUGAAGCCUAAAAACUCCAGAGAUCUAUUUUGUAACAUCUAAACAUUAAAGGCUUGGCACAUUAAAAAUGCUUUAGAAAACAAAACAAACGUGUAGCCAAUGAGCAGAAAGGGGUGUGUCUUGUCAAUAUGCAGUGGAGAGAGGGUUCAGUGUGCAUGUCUGCCAUUAGCCGAAAGCGACUGACACCUGCCGUUACCUCUGGCUCUGGUUCUAGGUGUUGAUCGUCGUCUUUUGUGUGAAACGGAGCUAAACCUUUCAUGGUAAAACACACAGUACUACAGAAACACAUUUGUAUUACCAUAGUAUUACUCAUUGAGUUCAUUUAUUGAUAGAAAUAUCCCCUCAGCCAGCUGCCCCAGCAGGUUGCGUAUGUAUGUAUGGGGCGGAGCUAUCAUAACGGGGUGACACCCAUUUGGGUUAGGGGUGUGUUGUUUAGGUGAUUUCAACAUUCGCUUUCAGAUCUCGCUCCCUGCCUUUAACUAUUUUAAGACUGAAUUAUCCAUUGUGUAACAGAGAUAUUAUAGAUUGUUUUUUAGAAGGAUGUCAAGGCAGAAUCUCCUGUGUGCCAUGAUGGCACAUGUUGGCAUCUUCUGUAAUAUCUGAGAUUUUUCAGGGUGUGUUUGAAUAAUUUUGGUACCAAAAUUAUAUAUAUAUAAAACCAGAUACCAGAUCAGAGUAAGAGAAAAUGGAACACAGCAAAAAUUAAAUGAUAAAACUUCUGCCUGAAAAAAUAUUAUGAUUUUAGGCAUCAUAUCUCUUUGAGUUCAUGCAGUGAAAGUCUAAUAACUCCAUAAAACUAUUUUAUAACAUCUCACCAUUAACUGUUUCAAAUUUGAUUUAUCUAUCACAUGUUGGCACACCUCUGUAUCUGAGUUUUACCAGCUACCGAACUAUAAAACUUUAUUUAAUUGAUUUAUAUGUCACUAUAGGUGUUCAUUCCAUCCAAAUAUAACUAUUCAUUUCAGAAUCUACCCAUUACUACCUACAGUAAAUAGACAGAAUUGAGUUGUGCCAGCUUUCCAACACAGGAGUUGGUGUGUGUGCCCUGUGAUGGGUUGGCACUCCGUCCAGGGUGUAUCCUGCCUCGAUGCCCGAUGACGCCUGAGAUAGGCACAGGCUCCCCGUGACCCGAGAAGUUCGGAUAAGCGGUAGGGAAUGAAUGAAUGAAUGAAAAUACCAAAGGUAAGAGCAAAUUUAGUGUCAUUGCUGCUCGGUUGUUUUUGUUUUUUUUCUUCUAAUCCAGUUCACAUAGAUUCUGUAGAAUCUCACCUUUCUAACUGUACAGCUUUUUGACCGAUUUUGUUUGUGGCCAUGUCCACACUAAUCCGGAUAUAUUUGAAAAUGGAUUUUACAUCUAAAAAUGUUCCGCGUCCACAUUAUCAUUUUCAAACGUUUUCCAAAAGUUGCUCAUCCACACUGAAAUGUAUGAAAAUUACUGUACAUCUCCCUACUGCGCAGGAGUAAAGCUUCGACCUGCGUUGUUUCCACUAGGCGUUUAUUUGCUUUCGACUGCAUCACAUGACUAAAAAUGCGUCAUAGUAUUCAAAAGCCUCCGUCUUCACAGAAAUGAAACAUUUGAGAAGGUAUAAGUGUGGACAUGGCCCAUAUCAUGUAAUGGAUGAUUACAGGAAUCAAAAUUCUUACGUACGACAUGUUUACAAAAGUUUUUCAGUCUAUUCUCCUUUAUUUAACUGAAAUUAAGGUUUCUAGUGAAAUAGAUGAGUUUCUUCCUGUUUGGGUAUGCUGCUGUCAGGACUCGGCCUGGACUUUGGCCAUGUGCCUUUUGUUUAUGUUCGGUGUUCACGUGUCUGCCUCGCCCUUGUCUUUUCCUCCCCACCUCUGCACACCUGUCCCUCAUGUGUCUUGAUUAUUAUUAGUAUUUAGUUAAGCCGCAUUGCCUUGUGCAGUGCGGAUUCCUUCGUUUUGUUUUUUCCUGUCCUGGUGUCGUGUCUUGAGUCGGUGUUUACGUUUCAUGUUUUUUAAGCUAAUAAACCCCAUUUUCUUUCAAGCUAUCCUGCAUUUGGGGCGUCGCUUCACUUCCGGUUUCUGCGGAGGACGCCGCCCCACUUCCUGUCGGCGGGGGGUGUUUCAGGCCCGUGUUUUGCCCCAUGGAUUUUUUGUUGUUUUUUUUCUGUUCUGUGGAAGAGGAUUUUUUUGUCCGCCCUCCCUCCCCCCCUUUCUGGUUUCCGAGAAGUGGGUCUGGCCGUGGUGUGUCGGGGGUUGCACUCAGCCCCCCUGUUCGGCGGUGGACGUCGCUCGGCCCUUCUGGCUGUGCUGCUGUGUGCUUUUCUGCCCCCACCUGCCUCGCAGUGUGCCUUGCUCCCCCCACCUGCCUCACGGUGUGCCUUGCUCCCCCACCUGCCUCGCCAUGUGCCUUGCUCUCCCCACCUGCCUCUGCCUCCCCCCUCCUGGACCCCAUCGGGACUGUCAGGACAGAUUGGCGCGUCGGGAGCAGCACCUCGAGGGGGGGUACUGUCAGGACUCGGCCUGGACUUUGGCCAUGAGCCUUUUGUUUAUGUUCGGUGUUCACGUGUCUGCCUCGCCCUUGUCUUUUCCUCCCCACCUCUGCACACCUGUCCCUCAUGUGUCUUGAUUAUUAUUAGUAUUUAGUUAAGCCGCAUUGCCUUGUGCAGUGCGGAUUCCUUCGUUUUGUUUUUUCCUGUCCUGGUGUCGUGUCUUGAGUCGGUGUUUACGUUUCAUGUUUUUUAAGCUAAUAAACCCCAUUUUCUUUCAAGCUAUCCUGCAUUUGGGGCGUCGCUUCACUUCCGGUUUCUGCGGAGGACGCCGCCCCACUUCCUGUCGGCGGGGGGUGUUUCAGGCCCGUGUUUUGCCCCAUGGAUUUUUUGUUGUUUUUUUUCUGUUCUGUGGAAGAGGAUUUUUUUGUCCGCCCUGAGAAGUGGGUCUGGCCGUGGUGUGUCGGGGGUUGCACUCAGCCCCCCUGUUCGGCGGUGGACGUCGCUCGGCCCUUCUGGCUGUGCUGCUGUGUGCUUUUCUGCCCCCACCUGCCUCGCAGUGUGCCUUGCUCCCCCCACCUGCCUCACGGUGUGCCUUGCUCCCCCACCUGCCUCGCCGUGUGCCUUGCUCUCCCCACCUGCCUCUGCCUCCCCCCUCCUGGACCCCAUCGGGACUGUCAGGACAGAUUGGCGCGUCGGGAGCAGCACCUCGAGGGGGGGUACUGUCAGGACUCGGCCUGGACUUUGGCCAUGAGCCUUUUGUUUAUGUUCGGUGUUCAUGUGUCUGCCUCGCCCUUGUGUUUUCCUCCCCACCUCUGCACACCUGUCUCUCAUGUGUCUUGAUUAUUAUUAUUUUUGCCUUGUGCAGCACAGAAUCCUGGUGUCCUUGUCCUGUUCUGGUGUCAUGUCUUGAGUCGGUGUCUACGUUUCAUGUUUUUUAAGUUAAUAAACCCCGUUUUCUAUCCUGCA